Molecule: long non-coding RNA, 10642 nt
Filed under: Homo sapiens (human)
Lineage: Eukaryota; Metazoa; Chordata; Mammalia; Primates; Hominidae
Description: HSALNT0177534
Source: RNAcentral
GUCCCCACCUUAAUCUCACCUUCAAUUGUGAUAAUCCCCAUAUGUCAUGGGAGGGACCUGGUGGGAGGUAAUUGAAUCAUGGGGGCAGGCUUUUCCCAUGUUGGUCUCAUGAUAGUGAAUAAGUCUCACAAGAUCUGAUGGUUUUACAAAGGGGAAUGCCCCUGCACAUGCUCCCUCUUGCCUGCCGCCAUGCAAGAUGUGACUUUGCUCCUCCUUUGCCUUCUGCCAUGAUAAUGAGGCCUCUCCAGCCACGUGCAACUGUAAGUCCAUCAAACCUCUUUUUCUUUAUACAUUACCCAGUCUUGGGUACUGUCUUUAUUAGCAGCAUGAACAUAGACUAAUGCAACCUGGAUGGGACACAGGGUGCCCAGAUAUUUGGUCAAGCAUGAUUCCAGGUGUUUCUGCGAGGGUGUUUUGGAUGAGAUGAACAUUUAAACUGAAGGAUGUUCAGUAAAGCAAUGUGCCCUCCCUAAUGUGGGUGGGCCUUACCCAAUCAGUGGAAGGCCUGAUUAGAACCCAAAUGCAAGAGAGAAUUCUGCUGCAGAAGGCCUUCAGGCUCCAUCUGUGAGGUCAGCUCCACCUGCUUCUACCACAGACAGCCUUCAGACUAGAACCAUGGCAUCGGUUCUCCUCACUCUCCAGCCUGUUGGCUCAUCCUGUGGAUUUUGGACUUGCCAGUUCCAACAUGGUUCAAGCCAAUUCCUUAUCACAAAUCUCUGUCUGUAUAUCAGCACAUCCUGUGGGUUCAGCUUCUCUUGAGAACACUGACCAAUCCAAUCACCGUUACUCCCGAUGACUUGUAGGUGAAGCCCCUUAAGGAAAAUUUCUUUCACAAAUGAGAGCUAGGGAAAGAUUUACUCUUCCUGAGCAGCUAAAGUAUUUUCUCCAAUGGCCACGAGAACCUUAAACCUUUCCUUCUUUCCACGCUCCCAUUGGCCGCCAGGAACUUGCAGCUUGGCUACAGCAAUCAUGAAGGACCUGACUGGGCUCAGCACAUGUGCCCAGGCCACCCAGGUAGAGGUGGAGGGCAUGGGAUUCAAGCCCAGGCCAUCGUUGGCUCUGAACAUAUACCUGAAACAACCUCCCUACCAGGAAGGAGGCUGCCCUGCCUGGAGUGAAGAGUGCAUGGAGCAGUCUCAGCCGACCCAGGUGGGAUGCGUAACAUGGCCGAGAAAUCCACCCAUGCUGCUGAGAGCUACUGCGCCAUGGGGUCAUGUGUCACCUAACUGACUUAGCCCAGCCUGACUGAUCCCCCGUGUGUGACCAGACAUCAGCACAUUCAGAGGACCUCAUACUGAGAAUUGGUGGACCUUUCAGAAUGGACAUGACCACUCAAAGUAGGGACAUUACUCGCUAUUUGAUGGCCCAUGUGGGAUCAAAGGCCACUGGGGUUCCCUCAAGGCACAGCACACUUAGAAUCCCAUAAGUCCUCAGUUCUAAGGCAUGUAUUUUUCAUACUUUGAUAAUUCUGAAAUCAAGUAUAGCUUCUAGUAGAUAUUAAAACUCAUUUUCAGAUCCUGCAGAAAGGAGGAGACAGAAAUAAAGUUGCCAUUCCCUGCUUUUGUAUGAACCCAGCUGAGCAUAAACCGUAAUCUAUUCAACCUCUACCGGGUGUUUGCCUUGCGUCCCCACACGUGGUUGACUCAUAACCUAAGUUUGAAUCCCUAAUUUUCACUUUAAAUAACUUCAGCUACUCGGGAUGCUGAGGCAGGGGAAUCGUCUGAACCCAGGAGGUGGAGGUUGCAAUGAGCCGAGACUGCGCCACUGCAUUCCACCCUGGGUGACACAGCAAGACUCUGUCUCGGGAAAUAAAAUUAAAUUAAAUUAAAUCAAAUCUUCAAAAAUAUUGCAGUACAAUGCAGCACUGAAACAAGAAGCUGUUGUGUAUGUGAGAUUUCCUGUCCCACAUUGGGCAAUGCAACUGAAGGCAAUAGAAACCAGGACAUUGCUCAGAAUAUGCCAUAAAGCUCCACCAUGCUAAGAGUUUAAAAAAAAGAAAAGAAAAGAAAGAAAGAAAAACAGAAAACCAAAAAUAAAAGAAGAAAAAUAAAGCUCCACCGUGCAGCUGGAGAUGUUAGCAUGAAUAACCUCUAGAUGAACAUAAUCUAUCAAAAGGUUUUUGCUGUCAGAAGAAACAACAGAAAGUAGAAUCAGACCCAGACCUGUCAAAAUUAUCAGAAUAUAAUAUAAAAUAAGCAUGAUUAAAGGAUUAAGAGAAAAUAUUUAAAACAUAAAGAACAAGAGAUUAUAAAAUGACCAAGCAGAUUUGGAAAGACCUAAAUGUAAUUCCAGAGAUGAAAAUAUAUUAAGUGAUACUAACAGAUGGUCAGACAUGGCUGAAAAUUAUGUUGGUGAACGGAAAGACAGAUCUGAGCUAUGGCCCAGAAUACAGCACAGAGAGACAAUGGGAGACAAGAAGGAGCUGCCAAGAGGCAUGAGGGGUGGAGUAAAAGCUACACUGUAUGGUCCUAGGAGCUCCAGUAGAAGAGAAUAGAAUAGGGCAAAGGCUAGAUCUGAAGGGGAAAUGGCUGAGAAGUUUUUAGAACAGAUGAAAAACAUCAAUCCCCAGAUUUGGGCAUCCCAAAGAAUCCAACCUAGGAUGAGUGAUAAGCAAUCCAUAGCUGGGGACAUCAUAGUGACACCAUACAAUACCAAGAGGUGUUUUUAAAUGUACCUGGGAUUUUGUUUUAAUCAGGUACAUUAACAUGACAGACAUGGAGACAGCUGCCUUAAAAGAAGUUUAUUACUUACAGUUCCCAGGAGCAGGGGGCAUGCCAUGCUAUGCAGUCUACAUGAGGAAGGACGAGGGUUGGUCAGGAGGCAGAGGGAGCAGGGGAACACAAGGGGAGACUUUACUAUCACUACUAUUACUAUUGACAUAGUAAUAAUAGUAAUAAAGUACCAUAGUAGUCAAGACUCUCCCCUUGGUGGUGGAAAGUUAAGUGAGGGUGUCUCCUAUGGGGCAGAAGGCAAAACACAGAUGUUGGGGGUUGUGGCCAGAGGGUUUGUGAUAUGAUUUUUGUGCACCCAUGAAAACACAAGGAUAGUAAGGAUAGAAACAAGCCUGGCUAUAGUUUGGCUCAUGAUUUCAAGAUACCAAAUUACAGGACAUCAAGAAUGAUUAUUACAGUGGAGUGUAGCUUAGAAGCAGCCAGAGAGGCAAGGUUGGCCCACAGCUGACUUCUCAACAGCAAUGGAUGAGCGGAAGACAGUGGAAUGACAUUUUUAAGGUGCUAGAGUGAAGUGACUACCUAGAAUUGUAUACUCAACCAAAAAUGUUUAAAUAAAGACACAUGCUAGAGGUUUCUCUUGGGAACAUACCUACGAGUAUAUACGCUUAGCUGAAGGGAAUAUGCAUCUGGCUUCAUGGACGCUUCCAACAAUAGCUUAGUUGGGGUUCCUUCCAGUUGCUUCUGUGAAAUUAAAGAAUUCAGACUUAAAGCUGUUGGAACUGUAUUCAGAGCCUUGAGAGGAACAUGGCUAUGCAACUUGAGUCACAUGGAAUGCAACUGCAACUUCUACCUUUUUUUUUCCCUAUAAAUAAUUAAGAAGACCAAACGACUUCAGAGAUAAGAAUCCCUUGAAUUUCUACCCCUCCUCAUGGAGUAAUAAAGUAUUUUCCUUGGAAUGCAGCAAUCUGUAACCGAUCAAGUCACUGUACGCACUGAUCGUGUAUGAAAAAUGUUGUAAUCCUGCUGAAAUUUCUCUGUCUCUGCCUAUGUAAGAGAAAUCUUAACUUCUCCACUUUGAAACAGUGACCCCAUUUGUUUGGAGUCAGUGUUGCCCAAGUGGCUAUCCUCAUGCUUUGGGCUCAAAGAAUCUCUACAUUUAAUCAUAGUUUCUGAAUCUCACUGUUUAAGGUUGACACUUCUCAUCCUCACCAACACGGGCUUUUGAGUGCUUGCCAAGCUGGUGGGUGAGACAUAGUGUCUCGGUAUAGUUCGGGGUUGCAUUUUCAUAUUGACUUUUCUUAUGCUGAUUGCCUUUGGGGUUUCUUCUCUUGUGAAGUACCAGUUGAGUCUUUGGUUGUUUCUUUUUCUUAGGAAUUUGUAGGCAUUCUUCAUUGUAUUAACCAUUACUUCUUUUUCCUGUAUUCUGAUGCUUUGACAUCUGGGAACGUGCUGACCCUGGAGGGAUGGCCCCUCCCAGGAUUAGCCAAUUUCUAGAAAUGAAGUCAUCUGUGAGUGCACCUUUCAAAUGUAAACCAACUAACUAAUCCAGAGCUCACAUUUGCAACGACCUCUUCUAUCAGGUUCUCAUACUCAGGGCUACCAUCCUCCUGCCAUAAUCACCCCAGGGCCAGGUACCAGACAGGCAGGGACAGUCCCUGUGCCCCAGAGCCUGUAACAUUAUUCAAACUAGCCCAUCCUAUGCCUACUUGCCCUGCCUCACUCGUUUUUUCCUACAGAAACCACAAUCAAGGCUCUUGCCCACACUUUCCCCUUAGUCCCUAUCCCUCCAGACCAACUCCCCUGCUUCCCUGUGCCCCCCAUCCACCCCGGGGUGCAGCAUGUCCCCUCCCCUGCAGAUCUGUGAGUAACAAACUAUCUUUUCAAUAAUGGUUAUCUCCUGAUCUGUUGGCCUCAUCAUAUCUGAAUAAUAAUAAAACCUAUAGCAGCCGGGCGUGGUGGCUCACACCUGUAAUCCCAGCACUUUGGGAGGCCAAGGUGGGUGGAUCACGGGGUCAAGAGAUCGAGACCAUCAUGGCCAACAUGGUGAAACCCCGUCUCUACUAAAAAUACAAAAAUUAGCUGGGCGUGGUGGUGCACGCCUUUAAUCUCAGCCACUUGGCAGGCUGAGUCAGGAGAAUCACUUGAACCCGGGAGGCAGAGAUUGCAGUGAGCUGAGAUCAUGGCACUGCACUCCAGCCUGGUGACAGAGCGAGACUCCAUCUCAAAAAAACAACAGCAACAACAAAAAAAAUUUUUCUUCAUACAAAUUAUUUGUCAGUUCUAAGCAUUGCAGUAUCUUCUCCCAGUUUGUAGUUUGUCUUUUCAUGCUUCUUAUGGUGUUUUUUGUUGGUUGGUUGGUUGGUUGGUUUUUGAAACAGUCUCGCUCUGUCGCCCAGGCUGGAGUGCAGUGGCACAAUCUUGGCUCACUGCAACCUCCACCUCCCAGGUUCAAGCAAUUCACCUGCCUCAGCCUCCCGAGUACCUGGGAUUACAGGCAUGUGCCACCAUGCCCAGCUAAUUUUUGUAUUUUUAGUAGAGAUGAGGUUUCGCUGUGUUGGCCAGGCUGGUCUCAAACUCCACACCUCAAGUGAGCCGCCCGCCUAACCUCCCCAAAGUGCUGGGAUUACAGGCGUGAGCCACCGUGCCUGGCCCUUACCAUGUUUUUUGAUGAACAUAAACUCUAAAUUGUAAUGUGGUCAAAUUCAUCAAUUGUACUGAAGGCCCCAACUGGGACAAUAAGGCAAAAAAAAUAAACUCAUAAAGACUGGAAAAGAAGACAAAAUCCUGUCAUUAUUCACAGAUAACGCAAUUAUCUAUGUUGAAAUUCCAAAAUAAUCUACAAACAAGUUAUUCAAAAUAAGAACAGACUCUACCAAGGUUUCGAGUUAGAAAGUCAGUGUGGGAAACUCAGGAAGAAAGUACUGCCCAUUACUGUCUCUUGAGGACCUGAGGCUUCAUCUCUACAAACACUUCCCCAAUUACAGAAGCCAAGGGAGGGACAUGUGGCAUGUCCCAGACAGCUCUUAAAGCUUCUCUCAGGAGGUGACACACCCCACUAUGCUUGCACACCAUUGGCCAAAACAAGUCACGUGUUCAAGCCUAACAAAUGUGAUUGGAUAGUCAGUCCCAUGAUUAGGUUACACCAUAUAAGACUCCAUCAUAGCCAAGUGGAGUGAGAUUCUUCUGCUGGUUUUGAAAAAGUGAGCUACCAUACUGUGAGAGAAGAGGCCACAGGUUAGAAUCUGAGGGCAACCUCUAGAAGUUGAGAGUGUCUCCAGCUGACAGCCAGCAAUAAAACAAGGACUUCAGUUCUACACCAAAAGCAACUGAAUUCUGUCAACAACCCCAUGAGCUUGGAAGCAUAUUCCUCCUCAGAGCCUCCAGUUGGGGACCACAGUCCCAGCCGCCAUCUUGAUUUCAGCCUUGUGAGAACCCAGGCAGAGAACCUAGCCAACCUGGACUUCUUGCCCUAGAAAACUGUGAGCUAAUAAGUGGGUAUUGCUCUAAGCCACUAAGUUUGUGUAAUUUGUUAUACAGCAUAGAUGACUAAUACAGAAUUUGGUGGAGAUUGGAAAUCCUACCAUGUGCCUGAACUAUUUAAAGCUGCAAAUACUGUGGUAAGAACACUAAUGAUCACCAUAGGCUCCUACCUCAUACCUCACCCAAAAAUCAGUUUCAGGGGUUUAACAGUUAAACAUCAAAGGCAGAACUAUGAAACAUUUAGAGGACAAUACAGAGUAACAUCUUAGAGCCUCGGGGGCAGGGACAUCUUAACAACACAUAAAAAGUACCAAUCCUAAAGGAAAACAAUGGACUAAUUUGGUCGAUGUAUUUUUAGGCAAAUGAAAAUUAAGAUGUUUGCACUAAUUAAUGCCAAUAAAGACAAUUCCAAAGGAUAUAUUUCAGGUCAAAGAGAAAUUACCACAGAAGGAAUAUGUAAGGUGCAAGAAAAGAUUGUGUGCAAAGAGCAUGGGGAACAUUUGGGGAAAUCUAAGCAAACCUGACCAAAUAAAACAAGAAAAGUCAGGUCUGCUUGUCGAAGUCAAAAUUAGAAGUAAACUGUAUUAGGUCCGUUCUCACGCUGCUAAUAAAGACAUACCCGAGACUGGGUAAUUUAUAAAGAGAAGAGGUUUCAUUGACUCACAGUUCUGCAUGGCUGGAGAGGCGUCAGGAAACUUACUGUUAUGGGGAAGGGGAAGCAAACACAUCCUUCUUCACGUGGCAGCAGCAAGGAGAAGUGCUGAGCAAAAGAGGGAAGCCCCUUAUAAAAACAUCACAUCUUGUGAGAACUCACUCAGUAUCAAGAACAGAUGGGGGAAACCGCCCCCGUGAUUCAAGUAUCUCCACCUGGUACCUCCCAUGACCUGUGGGGAUUAUGGGAACUACAAGAUGAGAUUAUGGGAACUACAAGGCACACAGCCAGACCAUAACAUAAACGAUAUAACACAAUUGCAUAUAAGUCAGAAGAGGAGAGACAGGAGAUGAUUCUAUGAUUUUGUACCAUUUGGAAGAAGCAUGAAAUAUUGAUUAACUUCGACCUUUACAAGUUUAGCACACCUGGUCAAAAUUUCAGAUCAAUUUAACAAUUUGUCCCUGCCAGGUCCUGCAGAUCAAAUUCUUCAACUAUGAUUAACUCCUGAAGGUCAAAUUCAGAUUUUAUUUUUUAGCAGUUUUAUUUUUGAGGGCAUUUUCGUUUCACCUCUUCCAAUGGGUAGAUGUUUCUUUCAUGAUACACCACAGCCUAUUAUUGUUAAGGCUUCAAGCCUCCCAGCCACUGACCUCUUCAAGCAAGGUAAGUUGUUAUCUGUGGCCCCUGAAUGUUCCUCACUUCGCCAGUACUUACAGUGAGUGGUACAACAUCAAUGCAAAGAUAGCUAUUCAGAGAAAUUGCCAAUUGUCAUGGGCCUCUGAAAAGGGAGCUUUUUCCACAAAAUCCAACAUUUCCCUGGAAACAUGGCUUCACCUUCUAUUCUUAUGAUUUACAGAAGUCACAAAGAAAGCACCUACUGCUAUUACUGGAAUUUCAGCUCAUAGUGUGGUCAAAAUCUAUAAUUUCUGUUGUGAUGUAUGCAAGCAUUACUUUGAAUGGCAUCUGACAGAGUUUGGUGGUCCAGGUCAUUACUGGCAAAUCAAGAGUCCUGUUUCAGCCACAAAAUCAAGUGUCAUCGCAGCCAUGCUAUGGAGAGGGAAAUAUGGGUUUUGGGUAAUGUAGAUAUUAAAAUAUAUUGUAACCGUGAGACCAGCUCAAACUGAUCAACCAUUGCGUAAGUUGUUACUGGUGAUGCAGAGCCGGAAUUGCCCAGGCGUGCACAAGAGAAAACACUUUAACCUCCUGUUAAUGCUGCCAGCCUGGCAGACCAGCUGUGUGGGCAUCAACUGGGACUAGUUAUAAAUGCCAUAAAAGCUCCACCCACCCCAGAUCAGAGAGACAGAUUUGAACACUGCCUCCUGUCUCCUUGCCAUUGACUCACAAUAAAGCUCUUUCUUUUUUCCAAAAGCCUGUGCCAUAGUAUUGGAUAGUGAGCCCACCACUCAGUAACAAUUUGUUGGCCUCAUAUUUGGCCAAAUGUAUAUGGCACAACUGAUUUUAAAAUAAUCCUUUCUGCCGGGCACAGUGUCUCAUGCCUAUAAUCCUAGCAUUUUGGGAGGCCAAGGUGGGUGGAUCGCUUGAGCCCAGGAGUUCAACACCAGCCUGGGCAACAUGGCAAAACCCCAUCUCUACAAAAAAUACAAAAUUUGGCCAGGCAUGUUGGUGUGCACCUGUAGUGCCAGCUACUAGGGAAGCUAAGGCAGGAGGAUUCCUUGAGCCUCGGACGCAGAGGUUGCAGUGAACCGAGAUCACGCCACUGCACUCCGGCCCAGGUAACAGAGGAAGACCUUCUCUCAAAUAAUAAUAAUAAUAAUGCUUUCAAUUCCCUUUUAUUGCCUACAUCACAACAAUUUUCUGUUAACUAAUAUGAUGUUUUGACUUUUGGUCUUAGUAUGUUUUAGUACAAAUAUUCAGAGACAAAUUUUUCAUCUAAGAGACAAAUUAUUCAGUUGAUCCAAAAUUUCUAGGGUCACCACCAUAAGAACAGAAAUUGAAUAUAUAAGUUCCAAAGUAGUGGAGGAGGAGAAAAUAAAAUGAGAAGAAAAAUAAACAAUCUGGGCCAGGCGCAGUGGCUCACACCUGUAAUCCCAGCGCUUUGGGAGGCCGAGGCGGGCAGAUCACAGGUCAGGAGUUCGAGACCACCCUGGUCAACGUGGUGAAACCCUGUCUCUACUAAAAGUGCAAAAAAUUAGCUGGGCGUGGUGGCAAGCACCUGUAAUACCAGCUACUCAGGAGGCUGAGGCAAGAGAAUCACUUGAACCCGGGAGGUGGAGGUUGCAGUGAGCUGAGACCGUGCCACUGCACUCCAGCCUGGGCAACAGAGCGAGACUCUGUCUCAAAAAAAAAAAAAAAGAAAAAGAAGCAAAAGCAAUCUAAAUGAAGCUACAAAAAGAGAGAAAAGACUACCCAUGGGGCAAACUCAAAGAGUGGAAACAAAUCCCCCAAAGUUAUGUUGAACGUAAUGGCAACCACCCAGGCCUGGUCAGUGCUCUGAACUUGACCUAGAGAAAAGACCUUCCGCCUGCUGCCUGCUCCUCGUCCUUCAGGUUGCAGAGUUCAUGCCGCCUUCUCAGAGAGGCCCCUGCUGACCUCCCUGGCUGAGCUCGCUUCCCAUCUCUUUGCUUUCAUAGUGUGGUCCUGUUUGGUUAGUGCAGGCCAUCCCCGCUACAUGCAGAUUCCACACUUGUGACUAUGCCCACUCGCUAAAAAUGCAUGUGUAGCCUCAAAUCAACACUCUCAGUGCCUCUAGCCACAUAUAGACAUGUGCAGGUGGCAAAGCGUCUGCACUGCUUGACGUCCAUGUUCCUAGCUGAGGCUGAACCAGCCGACACACAGCCUUCUUGUCUUGGCUCUCAACCUGUUGUACUGAAACAGGUGUCAUUUCUGCGAUGUACUUAAUGCCACUUUAUCCACGUGUUUGUGCAUUUUGCUUGUGAUUCUACCACUUAAAGUGCCGUCUAAUGUUCCUAAAUUGGAAAGGCUGUGACAUGCCUAAUGGAGAUAGACUUGCGCUAGGUGAGCCUCUUUCAGGCAUGAGGUAUGGUGCUGCUGGCCAUGAGUUCAGUGUUAAUGAGUCAGCCACAGAUAGAAAAUGAGGUGUCUUCCAACAGAAACACACAUAAAACAAAGGUACGUAUUGAUCAGUUGGCAAAAAUGUAGCCAAGGCUUGUAGGAACCUAACUGAUAAGGUUUGGCUCAGGGGCCCCACCAGGAAUGCAUCUCCUUCUUUGUUGUAGCCAGUUUCUAAGAUGGCUUCCAUAUUCCUCCCCACUGGUAUCCACACCCUUGUGUAGUGCCCUCCCUCACUUAAUAAGACUGACCUCUGCAACCAAUAGAAAUGAUGGGGUGUGAUUUUCCAGGCUAGAUGAUAAAAGAUGUGGCUUCUUGGAUCACAUGCUCUGGGGAAAAUCAGCCACCACGUUGUGAGGACACUCAAGCAUUGCUGUGGAGAGGUCUCCGUUGCCAGGAGCUGAGGCCUCCCACCAGUUUGCCAAACACAUGAGAAUCUGCAUUUGGAAGCAGAUCCUUGGCCUCAGUCAAGCCUUCUGAUGAUGCAGCCCAGCCAACGCCUUGACCACAACCUCAUGAGAGACCCAGAGCCAGGACUGCCCAGCUAAGCCACUCCCAAAUUCCUGACCCACAGAAACUGUGUGAGAUAAUAGAUGUUUCUUCUUGUGUUAACCCAUUAAGUGCUGGGGAAAUUUGUUGUGCAAUAAUAAACAACUGAUACAUACCUCUUUGGUUUUUCAGAGUCCUUCCCUUCCUCAGAAGCCAGGGUCAAGCCCACCUCCAUUCCCACUCCUGGGAAGACUGCUCUGAGGGUUGGCCACAAUUUUACCCUCCCCUGGGCCCCACACAGUGAACUUGACAUACACUUUGG